CCAACCUGAUCGCUGAGUCCCAAAUAGGGAACGGGGGAACCAACCGCGGUAUUCAAAAUUAUAAGCCGCACGGGGUGAAUCUUGAAUAGCAAAUUCAAGUAGGGCGACUCUCACGCCCGAAUCCGUCAGCUAACCUCGUAAGCGUGUCGAGAGGAGGA
This 158-nucleotide small RNA is filed under the name Aneurinibacillus sp. XH2. RNAcentral describes it as "c-di-AMP riboswitch aptamer (ydaO/yuaA leader)". It matches the Rfam family "c-di-AMP riboswitch aptamer (ydaO/yuaA leader)". From Rfam's summary of the family: This family represents a conserved RNA structure found upstream of the ydaO and yuaA genes in Bacillus subtilis and related genes in other bacteria. The ydaO/yuaA element is thought to act as a genetic "off" switch for the ydaO and yuaA genes in its native state. The record is from Rfam by way of RNAcentral. RNAcentral also lists the same sequence under 1 other name. Lineage: Bacteria; Bacillati; Bacillota; Bacilli; Caryophanales; Paenibacillaceae.